Molecule: ribosomal RNA, 274 nt
Filed under: uncultured bacterium
Lineage: Bacteria
Description: partial 16S ribosomal RNA
Rfam family: Bacterial small subunit ribosomal RNA
Source: RNAcentral
AUACGGAGGGGGUUAGCGUUGUUCGGAAUUACUGGGCGUAAAGCGCACGUAGGCGGACUGGAAAGUUGAGGGUGAAAUCCCGGGGCUCAACCCCGGAACUGCCUCCAAAACUUCCAAUCUAGAGAUCGAGAGAGGUGAGUGGAAUUCCAAGUGUAGAGGUGAAAUUCGUAGAUAUUUGGAGGAACACCAGUGGCGAAGGCGGCUCACUGGCUCGAUACUGACGCUGAGGUGCGAAAGCGUGGGGAGCAAACAGGAUUAGAAACCCUAGUAGUCC